Molecule: long non-coding RNA, 423 nt
Filed under: Bos taurus (domestic cattle)
Lineage: Eukaryota; Metazoa; Chordata; Mammalia; Artiodactyla; Bovidae
Description: long non-coding RNA NONBTAT001429
Source: RNAcentral
UGAACUUUUCAGUUGACUCUCAUUAUAGUUUUAUGAAAACAGUCCCGCAUUUGUAAUAAUGAAAAAAAUGACCAAAAUGAUAGCAGUUGCAAUUCAGCAGUUUAUUUUCAGUGUUUUUACUUGAGAACCAUAGCAGUGAACUUAGGUGAUGUGGUCUUUCCUGCUCUGAGUCAAGGAGGGUCACUUCUCUCAGCUAGGUAAGACAGGAAGAUCCUCUUAACCUGAGAUUUCAGUGCUCAUUAGGAGUUGAGCAGAUGAAUGGGGUUAGAAGAAGGAAAAGCAAAUGAGAAUGGCAUAUGUGAAAGAUAGUCUAUUCAAGGAAUAAAAGAAAUUGACUAUGAUUUGUUGACGGGGACAGCCAGGAUAAGCAGGAAGUUCGGAAAGGCAACCAGCUUCAGAGUAUGCUGGCCUAUCCAAGUCAUA